Sorghum bicolor (sorghum) is the source of this 695-nucleotide long non-coding RNA. RefSeq lists it as uncharacterized. Lineage: Eukaryota; Viridiplantae; Streptophyta; Magnoliopsida; Poales; Poaceae. The transcript is spliced from 2 exons. The record is from RefSeq and is a predicted model, not a curated record.
CACACAAAUAAAGUCAUGUUUGAUUAAGAACAGAGCAUGUAAAAGUAGCUUGCCGCGCAUCACAUAGUAGUGUACGUACGUUGGCAUGCAUGCAUCUUUAUAUGCGCCGAUGCGCGCGAUGUGAUCAGGUAGCUAGAGGAGGAGGAGGACUGGAGGAGGCAUGUACAGACACGAGACGAGACCACUCAUUCUCGUGUCCGUCGUCCGUCUCGCUAUGCAGGGACCAAGAAAUUAACAGCAGGCAGGCACCAGGCAGGCAGGAUGCAGGCGAAUUAACCCUGCCUGCUUGUGUCCGGCCAGCUUCUCUCCUCUGCGAUUUGAACGCGUAUCUGCUCAGUCGUAGAUCGAUUGGUCGAUGGACAAGCAAGGCCACCACCACCACGAGGUGGAUCGGACUUGGAGGAGCUAGCUGCAGUUGCAUUGCAUGCAUGCAUGCUGCGCGCAGAGAGAUCGUCGAUCGGGGAGAGGGGACCAGCAGAUGGAGGUCGGAGAUCGGACAAGCCCUAGCUAGGUUGACUCUCGCUCUGCAUGCCUGCAUCUGCAUGUGUUUGUGUGUGGCCUGUGUCGUGUGCUCGCAACGGCGUGCUCUGUCAAAGUUUGAGCGCACGCAUCAUGUUCCUUUCAUCAGUUUCUCAGCCAUUCCUGCUUCUUGUUUUACGAAUUAAUAAGGCCAGUCUCAAUGGGGUUUCAUGGGA